UUGGAAGUUUUGGAGCUAGGACGUACCUGUGAGUUAUAGUCUACCUGUGAAGGAGGUGUGAAUUAGGUCAUGCUUGUUCUGCUGUAUAUUACGCGAUAAGAUAAAGUUACGACUCUCCAAUCAAGUUCUGCAAUUCUCAUUGAACUUUUCACCUUUCUGUGAGCAUGCAUCUUGCUCCGCGGUUCAACUGUUGGAACAAGAAUUUUUUUUAUUUUUUUGGGAAACAAAA
RNAcentral lists this unclassified non-coding RNA (229 nucleotides) under Hevea brasiliensis (rubber tree). Lineage: Eukaryota; Viridiplantae; Streptophyta; Magnoliopsida; Malpighiales; Euphorbiaceae. The record is from RNAcentral.